AAAACAUCCCUACGGGAGGCAGCAGUGGGGAAUAUUGCACAAUGGGGGAAACCCUGAUGCAGCAACGCCGCGUGAGUGAUGAAGGCCUUCGGGUUGUAAAGCUCUGUCUUUGGGGACGAUAAUGACGGUACCCAAGGAGGAAGCCACGGCUAACUACGUGCCAGCAGCCGCGGUAAUACGUAGGUGGCAAGCGUUGUCCGGAUUUACUGGGCGUAAAGGGAGCGUAGGUGGAUAUUUAAGUGGGAUGUGAAAUACCUGAGCUUAACUUGGGUGCUGCAUUCCAAACUGGAUAUCUAGAGUGCAGGAGAGGAAAGUGGAAUUCCUAGUGUAGCGGUGAAAU
This 340-nucleotide ribosomal RNA is filed under the name uncultured bacterium. RNAcentral's name for it is "bacterial SSU rRNA". It matches the Rfam family "Bacterial small subunit ribosomal RNA", at positions 330 to 687 of the family's 1533-position model. The record is from RNAcentral.